RNAcentral lists this long non-coding RNA (933 nucleotides) under Falco tinnunculus (common kestrel). Its description in RNAcentral is "lncRNA (ENSFTIG00000016030.1)". Lineage: Eukaryota; Metazoa; Chordata; Aves; Falconiformes; Falconidae. The record is from RNAcentral.
CAUCAGCACAUUUGCUGAUUUUUCAUGGGGGGGAAAAAAAAAAAAGUUUUUUUAAAGGAAAGGGAAGGGGGGGAGGGGGGGCAUAGCCUCAGACAGAUCCCGUUUCCUCCUUCAUUCAUCAGAUUUCUUACCCACAUUCAGAAACAUACGGAAGUGAGUUAUGAAAAAUCCAUCUUGGAGAAGUCCUAGAUUACCAGAAAAAAAAUAAAUAAUCUUUCUACAGUUGUGGAGCAGCUGAGGAUGUUGGAAGGCACAAGGCUGCAGUACUGACACAGGCAGUGACAGCCCCGAGAACCUGCCACAGCCUUCCCAGUGUGCCGCACCAAAGGCUUGGGCACCCUUUGAGCAUCAACGCUGCAGCACCCAGCGGGCUUCAAGGGAGCCAGGUGGAAUCCACUGCUCGUCUUCUCCCCCACAAGACAGGGUCACAACGGCCCCCGUGUGAGGACUUGUACGGCAGAAGGGGGUUUCCCACCCACGUCAACAACAGGGAGACGCUGAUGCUUUUGGUUGACUUCCAAGUGGUUUGUACCUCUGCUUUGUGGAGAGGAAACGAAAGGCCUAAGGCAACGACUGCUGUGGAGACCACCUGGGUUAAAUUAGCACAAUUAAACAGUGUUAAGCAGUUCUAGGAAAUGCAAGGCUGUUUUCUGCAUUAUUGAAGUCAUGAGAUCGCCUGAGUGUAGAUGUGCCAACACGGGUUCCGGUUUUACCACAGCUAAUUCUCUUAUUUCAAAGAGCGGAAAUAUCCUCGGACAAAUCUGCUUUGUCAAGGUUGAAAACGUUCCACACCACAGAUGGUGACCAUAAGGUGCAAGUGAGUUUUCAGCUGAACCAGUGACACCCUACCCAUUUGCUUCACUGCUGAAGAUUUUAAAACUAGUUUUUGUUAUGAGAAGCUGAGCAGGUUACUUCUCUCCAAAUGUCUCUUCC